CAACUGUUGAGAAAGUCUUGUAGAGUUUAAAAUGCUGAAGAAAAAGGGAAGAAUCAUUAAGAAACUAUAAAUCUGAAGGAAAUCAAUAUGAUAGUCUAAGAUCUUGAAAUAGCAUAGCAUGUAUUUUUAUUUAUUAUUGCAGGCAGGUUGAUUAGUACCUGAGGGAGAUUCUCAGAAUCACAAAGCAUGGGCUGGAAGGGACCGCUGGAGAUCAUCUACAAGCCAGCACAAUGCAUCUAACCCAAUACAGACUAAAAGAUUCCACAGAAACAAGGAACUAUAGGGUACUGGAGCAGAAAUGCUAAGUCACAGCUUGAACCAGUGAUUGAGCACCUGGUGGGAAGGCAGGGCCAACCCAGGGGAGCUCAGGUGCAUGCAAUGAGGAUCUGCCCGAUCCUGGCUCCACCCCUUCCCAGACCUCAUUUAAGGACUGGCAGUAGGGGCAAGAGCAUCUCACUGGAGAUCCCUGCCUAGUAGAGGCCUUCUAAAGAAUAGAUGCCCCAGGGGAACAGAAGAUCGAGCAUGCUGCCCUUUGGCCAUUGGCACUAAUUUGCCAAUUCAGUAGAGAUGACAAAAGACGAAGUGGGGAGUCCACGCCCAUCUCAGGUAAAAGAAUUGCCUGUUUCAAGAAAACUGGGAAACACUGAUAGGACAAAAUAAAUGGGAGAAGAACAAGACUCCUAUGUCAUCUUGUGGACUUCAGACACAGCGACAGAUCAAACGUAGUUAUGGUGAGAAAACAUUGAUAUUCUGCCUUCUCCUUGAGCAUAAAGCAGACAACAAACACCUCUCUUUAACCUGUAAAUGCUAGUAGGGCUUUGUAUGGAUGCUCUAGGUCUGUUGGAAUUUUCUUCCUUCUAAAACGAGUCUCAGAGUCACUGUAGACUAAGAAAAAGAGCAGAUUAAUCGAAUCGGCCUCCCGAACCACCCAGAUUGUACUUCACAAAGGAUUCUGUGUGUUCUUAGCAAGGUCAAUUGACUAAGUAGUCAUCUGUGAGUGUGGAUUCUUGUCUCUUUCUAACCUUCUCUCAAAUUAGGAGAUAUCUGGGCUUGGUGCUCUAUUCUGCCAGUUGCUCUGGCUUCAAAUUUUGAAUUUUUUUAAAAAAUUACACAGUUGAGUCUAAUGUUCAAUUUCAGUGGUUUCCAGGGGAUUAUUUGUAGUGCCUAUUCUGCUAUACAGAGAAAUCUUUCUUUAAAAACACGAUCCAUCUUUCUAGUAGUACUUCAUUUAGAAAUUCAGAGUGGGCAGAUAGCCCUGAGAUAUGGAUAUCCUCUUCUUUUGCCUUCUAUCUGAAAAAGGGGGAAAAAAAAUCUAGUAUUUUUUUCAGUAUUGCUGAUGUCCCAGACACGUCUGAGUAACUGUCAUGUACAAUCAGUAUCUAUCCAUGGGAAUCUCAUAGAACCAGGGUGGUUUUAAUGUUCACCAGAAUAUUUCUGUGAGAGUUCCUAGGAUGCCAGGGAAAGCACUGACUGACCACAGAAAACAGAUAUGAGACAAGUGCAUGAUGACUUUUUUUUUUUAAGGAAAAAAGUAUUAAGGAUCCAACUGAGAACUACACUGACACAACUAUAUUUACUUUUGGUCACUGUUAAGUCUGUGUUUUCCAGCCUGUUAACUCCACGAGAAUAAGACAUAGCUGCAGUAUGGAGCUGAGUCAGUUUGGAUUCAGCAUUUAAAGAAAGAAUGGAAGAGAAGCAACCAGGUGUCAAAAGAUGUAAGUAGGUUAGAUCACAAUGAGGAGAUAGCCUUCCCAUCUGCUGGGAACUCCUUUGCAAGGUAAGACUGUUAGAUAUACAAGUCCCUGGCUGGGACUGGUGAAGAGGAUGUAAGCAUGGAAACUAACAGAGCUCUACUAUGAUCAAGUAGGGGAUGAGGGCAGCAUUCCCUAUAAAAAGGAUCCUGAGGUCCCUGCUGAGGUGCCAAGGUUGAAUAUUUUGCCAGAGGUGGAAACUGAAUUGAUUUGUGCCCCUCAGGCUAGCUCCAGGAACCUCACUCCUGCCUGAGAGCAUUAGUCCACAUGUGGAGAGAGGCUUUUCAGCUGGAGACGAGUUUAUGGCUUUUGACUUUUUCAUGUUCAUGUGUUUUUAUAAAGCCACAAUCGUUUUGUUUUUUUUUAUUGGGCUUUUAUAGAAAGGUCUCUGAAGUCUAGCAAAAUCUCAGCUUAACAGUAGAGAUUGUGCUAGAGAGACAUAUAAGAAGUAAGAGAAAAUAAGAAGGCCAUGGGAGAGAUGGGUAAAUACAGAAGUGCAAGCAGAGUUCUGUCAAAGCAAGUUUCUGACUUACACAUUUAACUUUAUCCGUCAGCCUAGGGGCAAGUCUACAGCAUGAUUAACCUCCUAGAUCUCACUUGUUCCAGGUCCAAGCAUUAUCUGGCCAGAGUGCAUUGCCAAUCCACCAUGCCAGCCAUCCCACCAGAGGCAUCUUGAUGUCAGCAUUGAUGUGACCCAGAAAUGAGGGGAGAGUGACGGGAAUUCACUGUGCUGGGGAAUUCAGUGCUGCAGAUAGUGAAACACCUUCCAAACCAGAAGAGGUUGCUCUGUGUUCCAAUAUUACUGAUGGUAAAGGAAAUGUUGUGUGAAAUGUUCUGGUCAGCCAAGGAAGUGGACCAUGCAGCAUGGGAUGGCAGCCCCUUCGUGAUCCCCGAGGCUUUGGUGCUGGGAUCAGCACAAGGAAGGACGCCAGAGGAAAAAGUCAGGUUCAGGUUGGAAACGUAUUGCUCAGAGGAAGCAGAUGGAAGAAGAGGUGUCUCUGACUUUGAAUCAGCUUCUGUAUGAUCAUGGCUUAAUGAUCAUAAAUCCUCUGGGGCCUGCAACCUAACAAGGGAAUAAAGGAGGAAGCGCCGUCUCUCUCAGAUCAAAGUAAAGAGAAAAGCUGAGAUGUAAAGGAGACGAAAUGAGCUACAGGGUAAGUUUGGCAACUGACAAAUGGAGGCCAUGGAGUUCUUCACAAAAGAUUAUACUUUCUACAGCCAUUUGCAAUGACACCUGCACUGUGCCAUUUCACUGUCCUUGGGCUUGGCAUAUAUUGCAGUGUAGUCUCCUUCAGCACAGGCCAAUUCAUGGUGGAGAGGUGAAGGAGCAGAAAGGGAACAACAGCAACAACAAAAUCUUACAACCUCAACAACAGAAGCCUCAAACCAACCAAGAAAACAGCUGUAUGUCCAGAGACUGCUGGUCCUUCCUCAGAUGAAGGACCUGUUUUCAUACCUGGCUCUGUCUCGUGUCCCAGACUCAAA
This 3236-nucleotide long non-coding RNA is filed under the name Gallus gallus (chicken). Its description in RNAcentral is "lncRNA (ENSGALG00010022048.1)". The record is from RNAcentral. Lineage: Eukaryota; Metazoa; Chordata; Aves; Galliformes; Phasianidae.